Molecule: ribosomal RNA, 479 nt
Filed under: uncultured cyanobacterium
Lineage: Bacteria; Bacillati; Cyanobacteriota
Description: bacterial SSU rRNA
Rfam family: Bacterial small subunit ribosomal RNA
Source: RNAcentral
AGUCGAACGAACCUUCGGGUUAGUGGCGGACGGGUGAGAAACGCGUGAGAAUCUGCCCUCAGGAGGGGGAUAACGGUUGGAAACGACCGCUAAUACCCCAUAUGCCGAGAGGUGAAAUGAAUUUCGCCUGAGGAUGAGCUCGCGUCUGAUUAGCUAGUUGGUGUGGUAAUGGCGCACCAAGGCUUCGAUCAGUAGCUGGUCUGAGAGGAUGAUCAGCCACACUGGGACUGAGACACGGCCCAGACUCCUACGGGAGGCAGCAGUGGGGAAUUUUCCGCAAUGGGCGAAAGCCUGACGGAGCAACGCCGCGUGAGGGAUGAAGGCCUCUGGGCUGUAAACCUCUUUUAUCAAGGAAGAAGAUCUGACGGUACUUGAUGAAUAAGCCACGGCUAAUUCCGUGCCAGCAGCCGCGGUAAUACGGGAGUGGCAAGCGUUAUCCGGAAUUAUUGGGCGUAAAGCGUCCGCAUGCGGUCUUGUAA